This 73-nucleotide transfer RNA is filed under the name Bacteroidota bacterium. Its description in RNAcentral is "tRNA-Thr". It matches the Rfam family "tRNA". From Rfam's summary of the family: Transfer RNA (tRNA) molecules are approximately 80 nucleotides in length. Their secondary structure includes four short double-helical elements and three loops (D, anti-codon, and T loops). RNAcentral also lists the same sequence under 1 other name. Lineage: Bacteria; Pseudomonadati; Bacteroidota. The record is from RNAcentral.
GCCAUCGUAGCUCAGCUGGUAGAGCAACGCUCUCGUAAAGCGUAGGUCAGGGGUCCGAAUCCCCUUGAUGGCU